AUUGAACGCUGGCGGCAUGCCUUACACAUGCAAGUCGAACGGCAGCACGGGGGCAACCCUGGUGGCGAGUGGCGAACGGGUGAGUAACAUAUCGGAACAUACCCUAGAGUGGGGGAUAACGUAGCGAAAGUUACGCUAAUACCGCAUACGAUCUAAGGAUGAAAGUGGGGGAUCUUCGGACCUCAUGCUCAUGGAGUGGCCGAUAUCUGAUUAGCUAGUUGGUGAGGUAAAGGCUCACCAAGGCGACGAUCAGUAGCUGGUUUGAGAGAACGACAGCCACACUGGAACUGAGACACGGUCCAGACUCCUACGGGAGGCAGCAGU
Molecule: ribosomal RNA, 324 nt
Filed under: uncultured bacterium
Lineage: Bacteria
Description: bacterial SSU rRNA
Rfam family: Bacterial small subunit ribosomal RNA
Source: RNAcentral